UACAGAGGUGGCAAGCGUUGUUCGGAAUUACUGGGCGUAAAGGGCGCGUAGGCGGCCUACUAAGUCAGACGUGAAAUCCCCCGGCUUAACCUGGGAACUGCGUCUGAUACUGGAAGGCUUGAGGAUGGGAGAGGGAUGUAGAAUUCCAGGUGUAGCGGUGAAAUGCGUAGAUAUCUGGAGGAACACCGGUGGCGAAGGCGGCAUCCUGGACCGGUAUUGACGCUGAGGCGCGAAAGCCAGGGGAGCAAACGGG
This 253-nucleotide ribosomal RNA is filed under the name uncultured bacterium. RNAcentral's name for it is "partial 16S ribosomal RNA". It matches the Rfam family "Bacterial small subunit ribosomal RNA", at positions 524 to 776 of the family's 1533-position model. The record is from RNAcentral.